GCCGGGUGUGGUGGCGGGCGCCUGUAGUCCCAGCUACUCGGGAGGCUGAGGCAGGAGAAUCGCUUGAUCCCGGGAGGCGGAGGUUGCAGUGAGCCGAGAUCACACCACUGCACUCCAGCCUGGGUGACAGAGCGAGACUCUGUCUCAA
This 148-nucleotide small RNA is filed under the name Macaca mulatta (Rhesus monkey). RNAcentral's name for it is "Metazoan signal recognition particle RNA (ENSMMUG00000049672.1)". Lineage: Eukaryota; Metazoa; Chordata; Mammalia; Primates; Cercopithecidae. The record is from Rfam by way of RNAcentral.